Molecule: transfer RNA, 87 nt
Filed under: Gemmatimonadaceae bacterium
Lineage: Bacteria; Pseudomonadati; Gemmatimonadota; Gemmatimonadia; Gemmatimonadales; Gemmatimonadaceae
Description: tRNA-Ser
Rfam family: tRNA
About the family: Transfer RNA (tRNA) molecules are approximately 80 nucleotides in length. Their secondary structure includes four short double-helical elements and three loops (D, anti-codon, and T loops).
Source: RNAcentral
GGACAGGUGGCCGAGUGGUUGAAGGCACCGGUCUCGAAAACCGGCGCACCGGCAACGGUGUCGAGAGUUCGAAUCUCUCCCUGUCCG